RNAcentral lists this ribosomal RNA (468 nucleotides) under Salmonella enterica subsp. enterica. RNAcentral describes it as "partial 23S ribosomal RNA". The stretch from base 1 to 366 matches the Rfam family "Bacterial large subunit ribosomal RNA", at positions 161 to 565 of the family's 2925-position model. The record is from RNAcentral. Lineage: Bacteria; Pseudomonadati; Pseudomonadota; Gammaproteobacteria; Enterobacterales; Enterobacteriaceae. RNAcentral also lists the same sequence under 1 other name.
AAUCCAUAGGUUAAUGAGGCGAACCGGGGGAACUGAAACAUCUAAGUACCCCGAGGAAAAGAAAUCAACCGAGAUUCCCCCAGUAGCGGCGAGCGAACGGGGAGGAGCCCAGAGCCUGAAUCAGCAUGUGUGUUAGUGGAAGCGUCUGGAAAGGCGCGCGAUACAGGGUGACAGCCCCGUACACAAAAGCGCAUGUGCUGUGAGCUCGAUGAGUAGGGCGGGACACGUGGUAUCCUGUCUGAAUAUGGGGGGACCAUCCUCCAAGGCUAAAUACUCCUGACUGACCGAUAGUGAACCAGUACCGUGAGGGAAAGGCGAAAAGAACCCCGGCGAGGGGAGUGAAAAAGAACCUGAAACCGUGUACGUACAAGCAGUGGGAGCCCCACCACCAAAGCAUUUGCUGUACCGCGUUGACGGAGCGAAGCGACGUCAAACCGAUAAAACAGCAGUGUAAAGUGAGCCGCAGGG